UUAAUAAACAAUUUUUUUCACAAAAUCUCUAGAUUUUUUAACGCCAAGCACUAGUAGUCAACGAGACAGCAUAUUAUCCUCACGCUGAAUUUUCCUAGAAGUUGAAUUUUCCUAGAAAUUGCCCCUUGUGAGGAAAUUGAUUCCCUCAUUUAUCUAUAUAUUUUGCUUCAUUUAUUCACUACCUCACCAAAACCAACUUAUAUGCAACUCUAGACUCUCAUUUCUCUCUUUAAUUCCAAUAAUUCCUCGAUCUUUUUAAUACUUAAGUGACUGAUUCAGAAUUUAAAUACCGUAAAUUUUGAGUUGAUAGAGUGGGUUCUACGUCUUUAUCUAUACUUGUUUUUGCAUUGACAAAUUCAGAAUUUAAAUCCAAUAAAUUUUGAGUUGAUAGAGUAGGUUCUACGUCUAUAUCUAUACUUGUUUUUGCACGUAUUUAUAAAGUUCAACCCCGAUAUACUCAGUCCAACCAAUGAAGAUCAUAGCUUUUUCAUUGCUUAUGUUCAUUUUAUUACCUAUUGCUGUCAUGGACAAGGUUAGUUUUUCUAUAGAAAGUGCUGAGCCACCGAAUCACGAGAAGAGAACGGGUCUAAGGCCUCCACCACCUCCUAGGUCUUACCCUCCUAUCCACUGGAAGCGGGGGAGGUUCGUCUCCCCAACGCCACCACAAUCAGGAUUAUAGUGAUCAGUGACGAAUAUAAGAUUUUGCGUGAGUAAUGUUAAUUUUUUGUCAUCAUAUGACUUGUAAUAAGGCCCAAUUGGAUGGUCUCACUCUCUUUCUUAUAACUUUGACAUGUGCUAUUUCACUUGUUUAGAUUUUUGUCAUUCUCAAGCUUCAAAUUAGUAAAAUCUUUGUAUUUAUAUACUGUUCAAUCAUUUUUCUAGUUACAUUGAAGUAUAAGUUCGAUUUUGCAAAUCCUGAUUCUUGACCCAUUACAAUGUUGCUGAUUAAACAAGUUGUGGAGACAGAUCAUACAUGAAUAAAUAAAGAUAUAUGAACAUAUAGUGUAUGGGCUAGAAUCUGACUAUAUAUCAUAUACGAAAUUAGCUCUAUCCUUAAUAAUCUACAAUUAAUAAGUGGUACGAUCAUUCUGAACGAGUGACAAUUGACUACCCUAUGGUCCAAUUGAAAGGUUACAACCCCCCUCCCCCCGCUUCAGAGGCGCAACGUCGACAUGGCCACAUCCACUUAUCGCCAGUCUGGCCACGGUCACUUACUGCCAGCUCACAAAGCUCGCAUCUAUAAAUAUCAUGAGUGAGAACCUUAAGAAGGGGGCUUCUUCUUCGACACUAUGAAUAAGAGAGAGACACAUUACAAUACUAAUAUCAUGAGGGAAU
RNAcentral lists this long non-coding RNA (1335 nucleotides) under Nicotiana benthamiana. Its description in RNAcentral is "long non-coding RNA (NBEN_LNC003147)". The record is from RNAcentral. Lineage: Eukaryota; Viridiplantae; Streptophyta; Magnoliopsida; Solanales; Solanaceae.